This 237-nucleotide long non-coding RNA is filed under the name Dasypus novemcinctus (nine-banded armadillo). RNAcentral's name for it is "lncRNA (ENSDNOG00000050597.1)". The record is from RNAcentral. Lineage: Eukaryota; Metazoa; Chordata; Mammalia; Cingulata; Dasypodidae.
GAAGAAAGCCAGUUUUGUCAGUUAGCGAGCAGCAAAGCUUAAACCCAAACCCUGACAACUGUCCCUGCCUGGACAGUGCUUAUCACCGUACAUUUAAGCUAUUUCUUGGAUAUGCAGCUGAGAGUCUUGCUAUGUUAAGAAAAGGAAAAAAAGAAAAAGAAAAAUUAUUGAAUAUGAUCCCUUAGUAGAAGUAAGUGCAAAUUAAAACACAAUUCAUUAUUCUUCUGCACAUACACA